RNAcentral lists this ribosomal RNA (483 nucleotides) under uncultured bacterium. Its description in RNAcentral is "partial 16S ribosomal RNA". It matches the Rfam family "Bacterial small subunit ribosomal RNA", at positions 28 to 507 of the family's 1533-position model. The record is from RNAcentral.
GAUGAACGCUAGCGGCAGGCCUAAUACAUGCAAGCCGAACGGCACGUUUGAUAGCAAUAUUGGACCUAGAGUGGCGCAAGGGUGCGUAACACGUAUGCAACCUGCCCGCGACAGGAGGAUAGCUCCCCGAAAGGGGAAUUAACCCUCCAUAACACCAUGAGAAGGCAUCUGAUUAUGGUUAAACCGCAAGGGGUCGCGGAUGGGCAUGCGGUUGAUUAGCUAGUUGGCGGGGUAAAGGCCCACCAAGGCGGUGAUCAAUAGGGGUUCUGAGAGGAAGGUCCCCCACACUGGCACUGGGAUACGGGCCAGACUCCUACGGGAGGCAGCAGUAGGGAAUAUUGGACAAUGGGUGCAAGACUGAUCCAGCCAUGCCGCGUGCAGGAAGAAGGCCUUCUGGGUCGUAAACUGCUUUUUCCUGUGGAUAAAAUACCCGUGCGCGGGGAAUUGAAGGUAACAGGGGAAUAAGCCACGGCUAACUACGUG